Molecule: ribosomal RNA, 253 nt
Filed under: uncultured bacterium
Lineage: Bacteria
Description: partial 16S ribosomal RNA
Rfam family: Bacterial small subunit ribosomal RNA
Source: RNAcentral
UACAGAGGGGGCAAGCGUUGUUCGGAAUUACUGGGCGUAAAGGGCGCGUAGGCGGCCUGUUAAGUCGAACGUGAAAUCCCCGGGCUCAACCCGGGAACUGCGUCCGAUACUGGCAGGCUUGAAUCCGGGAGAGGGAUGCGGAAUUCCAGGUGUAGCGGUGAAAUGCGUAGAGAUCCGGAGGAACACCAGUGGUGCAAACGGCGCCCUGGGUCCGAACUGACGCUGAUGCACGAAAGCGUGGGGAGCAAACAGG